CCUACGGGAGACAGCAGUGAGGAAUAUUGGUCAAUGGGCGCGAGCCUGAACCAGCCAUGCCGCGUGAAGGGCAGGGACCUAGGGGCGUUAAACUUCUUUUGUGCGGGAGCAAGAAUGGUCACGUGUGGCCAGACGAGAGUACCGUACGAAUAAGCAUCGGCUAACUCCGGGCCAGCAGCCGCGGGAAUACGGGGGAUGCAAGCGGUAUCCGGAGUUAUUGGGUUUAAAGGGUGCGUAGGCUGGGAGGUAAGUCAGCGGUGAAAUGCCCCCUCUCAACGGGGUGAAGUGCCAUUGAUACUGCCUUGCUGGAGUGCGGAUGCCGUCGGUGGCAUGUGUGUUGUAGCGGU
RNAcentral lists this ribosomal RNA (347 nucleotides) under uncultured bacterium. RNAcentral describes it as "partial 16S ribosomal RNA". It matches the Rfam family "Bacterial small subunit ribosomal RNA", at positions 338 to 682 of the family's 1533-position model. The record is from RNAcentral.